AUUCCAGCUCCAAUAGCGUAUAUUAAAGUUGUUGCAGUUAAAAAGCUCGUAGUUGAACUUCAGACCUGGCCGGGCGGUCUGCCUAACGGUAUGUACUGUCUGGCUGGGUCUUACCUCUUGGUGAGCCGGCAUGCCCUUCACUGGGUGUGUCGGGGAACCAGGACUUUUACCUUGAGAAAAUUAGAGUGUUCAAAGCAGGCCUAUGCCCGAAUACAUUAGCAUGGAAUAAUAAAAUAGGAUGUGCGGUUCUAUUUUGUUGGUUUCUAGAGUCGCCGUAAUGAUUAAUAGGGAUAGUUGGGGGCAUUAGUAUUCAGUUGCUAGAGGUGAAAUUCUUGGAUUUACUGAAGACUAACUAUUGCGAAAGCAUUUGCCAAGGAUGUUUUCAUCA
Molecule: ribosomal RNA, 388 nt
Filed under: Agaricomycetes sp.
Lineage: Eukaryota; Fungi; Basidiomycota; Agaricomycetes
Description: partial small subunit ribosomal RNA
Rfam family: Eukaryotic small subunit ribosomal RNA
Source: RNAcentral